AAUCAACGCUGGCGGCGUGCCUCAGACAUGCAAGUCGAACGAUUAAGACUUCCUUCGGGAAGUGUAUAAAGUGGCGCACGGGUGAGUAACACGUAAGUAAUCUGCCUUCGAGUGGGGAAUACCUUCGGGAAACCGAAGAUAAUACCGCAUAAUGCAGCGGCACCGCAAGGUGACAGUUGUUAAAGGAGCAAUCCGCUUGAAGAGGAGCUUGCGGCAGAUUAGCUAGUUGGUAAGGUAAUGGCUUACCAAGGCUACGAUCUGUAUCCGGUCUAAGAGGACGGUCGGACACACUGACACUGAAUAACGGGUCAGACUCCUACGGGAGGCAGCAGUCGGGAAUUUUGGGCAAUGGGCGAAAGCCUGACCCAGCAACGCCGCGUGAAGGAUGAAGUA
This 393-nucleotide ribosomal RNA is filed under the name uncultured bacterium. RNAcentral's name for it is "bacterial SSU rRNA". It matches the Rfam family "Bacterial small subunit ribosomal RNA", at positions 32 to 415 of the family's 1533-position model. The record is from RNAcentral.